GGGAAUUUUCCGCAAUGGGCGAAAGCCUGACGGAGCAAUACCGCGUGAGGGAUGACGGCCUAUGGGUUGUAAACCUCUUUUUUCAGGGAGGAAACAAAUGACGUUACCUGAAGAAUAAGCAUCGGCUAACUCCGUGCCAGCAGCCGCGGUAAGACGGAGGAUGCAAGUGUUAUCCGGAAUCACUGGGCGUAAAGCGUCUGUAGGUGGUUGAAUAAGUCAACUGUUAAAUCUUGAGGCUCAACCUCAAAACCGCAGUCGAAACUAUUCGACUAGAGUAUAGUAGGGGUAAAGGGAAUUUCCAGUGGAGCGGUGAAAUGCGUAGAGAUUGGAAAGAACACCGAUGGCGAAGGCACUUUACUGGGCUAUUACUAACACUCAGAGACGAAAGCUAGGGUAGCAAAUGGGAUUAGAUACCCCAGUAGUCA
RNAcentral lists this ribosomal RNA (425 nucleotides) under uncultured cyanobacterium. Its description in RNAcentral is "bacterial SSU rRNA". It matches the Rfam family "Bacterial small subunit ribosomal RNA", at positions 357 to 796 of the family's 1533-position model. The record is from RNAcentral. Lineage: Bacteria; Bacillati; Cyanobacteriota.